GACUUUCCAGCAUGCAUACUAUGAGGCAAGAGGAAAGGGGGUCUUAUUUCGAGAGAGGAACUGAAAAGGAAUUGUCCAGGCCUCCAGCAAGCCACACAGCUCCCAGGAGCGCUGCUCGUGUGUGAGGCCGAGCCACAGGGCCAGGUGGGCAAGGAGGGAAUGGGAAGCAGAGAGACAGCUCUUAUGAAGAAGAGGAUACAUUAUGUCAGGAGGAAGUUGCCUUUGUUUGCCGUAGCAUGAAAGGGGAAGGACCACACAAAUUUGACAUAUGAAAUAUGGCUCUGUGAACACAAUAACUGCAGCGUAUGUGG
Molecule: long non-coding RNA, 311 nt
Organism: Hemicordylus capensis (graceful crag lizard)
Lineage: Eukaryota; Metazoa; Chordata; Lepidosauria; Squamata; Cordylidae
Exons: 4
Source: RefSeq, a predicted model, not a curated record